RNAcentral lists this ribosomal RNA (433 nucleotides) under uncultured bacterium. RNAcentral's name for it is "partial 16S ribosomal RNA". It matches the Rfam family "Bacterial small subunit ribosomal RNA", at positions 34 to 507 of the family's 1533-position model. The record is from RNAcentral.
CCCGCCCGCUGGCGGCAUGCCUAACACAUGCAAGUCGAACGAGACCUUCGGGUCUAGUGGCGCACGGGUGCGUAACGCGUGGGAACCUGCCCUUAGGUUCGGAAUAACUCCCCGAAAGGGGUGCUAAUACCGGAUAAUGUCUUCGGACCAAAGAUUUAUCGCCUUUGGAUGGGCCCGCGUUGGAUUAGCUAGUUGGUAGGGUAAAAGCCUACCAAGGCGACGAUCCAUAGCUGGUCUGAGAGGAUGAUCAGCCACACUGGGACUGAGACACGGCCCAGACUCCUACGGGAGGCAGCAGUGGGGAAUAUUGGACAAUGGGCGAAAGCCUGAUCCAGCCAUGUCGCGUGAGUGAUGAAGGCCUUAGGGUUGUAAAGCUCUUUUACCCGGGAUGAUAAUGACAGUACCGGGAGAAUAAGCUCCGGCUAACUCCGUG